GAUGAACGCUGGCGGCGUGCCUAAUACAUGCAAGUCGAGCGAACGGACGAGAAGCUUGCUUCUCUGAUGUUAGCGGCGGACGGGUGAGUAACACGUGGAUAACCUACCUAUAAGACUGGGAUAACUUCGGGAAACCGGGGCUAAUACCGGCUAAUAUUUUGAACCGCAUGGUUCAAAAGUGAAAGACGGUCUUGCUGUCACUUAUAGAUGGAUCCGCGCUGCAUUAGCUAGUUGGUAAGGUAACGGCUUACCAAGGCAACGAUGCAUAGCCGACCUGAGAGGGUGAUCGGCCACACUGGAACUGAGACACGGUCCAGACUCCUACGGGAGGCAGCAGUAGGGAAUCUUCCGCAAUGGGCGAAAGCCUGACGGAGCAACGCCGCGUGAGUGAUGAAGGUCUUCGGAUCGUAAAACUCUGUUAUUAGGGAAGAACAUAUGUGUAAGUAACUGUGCACAUCUUGACGGUACCUAAUCAGAAAGCCACGGCUAACUACGUG
RNAcentral lists this ribosomal RNA (497 nucleotides) under uncultured bacterium. RNAcentral's name for it is "partial 16S ribosomal RNA". It matches the Rfam family "Bacterial small subunit ribosomal RNA", at positions 28 to 507 of the family's 1533-position model. The record is from RNAcentral.